RNAcentral lists this ribosomal RNA (254 nucleotides) under uncultured bacterium. Its description in RNAcentral is "partial 16S ribosomal RNA". It matches the Rfam family "Bacterial small subunit ribosomal RNA", at positions 524 to 776 of the family's 1533-position model. The record is from RNAcentral.
UACGUAGGGUGCUAGCGUUGUUCGGAAUCAUUGGGCGUAAAGGGCGCGCAGGCGGCUGCUCAAGUCAGGCGUGAAAGGCCUGGGCUCAACCCGGGAAUUGCGCUUGAGACUGGGCUGGCUUGAGUGCGGGAGAGGAUGGUGGAAUUCCCAGUGUAGAGGUGAAAUUCGUAGAUAUUGGGAAGAACACCGGUGGCGAAGGCGGCCAUCUGGACCGCAACUGACGCUGAGGCGCGAAAGCGUGGGGAGCAAACAGG